AACCUUCACAAUGCACGAAAGUGUGAUGAGGGAAUCCCACGUGCUCAUGUUUCACAUGGGCUUUUGCUGAAUGUAAGGAGUUCAGCGAAUAAGGGGUGGGUAAGACUGGUGCCAGCCGCCGCGGUAACACCAGCGCCCCGAGUGGCAGUCGCGAUUAUUGGGCCUAAAGCGUUCGUAGCCGGCUUUGUAAAUCCCAUGUGAAAUCGUCACGCUUAACGUGACGGCGUGCAGGGGACACUGCAAGGCUCGGGACCGGGAGGAGUCUGAGGUAUGCCAUGGGGACCGGUAAAAUGGGAUAAUCCAUGGUAGACCACCGAUGGCGAAGGCAUCAGACCAGAACGGAUCCGACGGUGAGGAACGAAAGCCAGGGGAGCGAACCGGAUUAGAUACCCGAGUAGUCCUGGCCGUAAACGCUGUGAGCUAGGUGUUGCUCAUCCUACGAGGAUGAGCAGUGUCGAAACGAAGGUGAUAAGCUCACCGCCUGGGAAGUACGGUCGCAAGACUGAAACUUUA
This 513-nucleotide ribosomal RNA is filed under the name uncultured archaeon. RNAcentral's name for it is "bacterial SSU rRNA". It matches the Rfam family "Archaeal small subunit ribosomal RNA", at positions 345 to 859 of the family's 1478-position model. The record is from RNAcentral.